RNAcentral lists this ribosomal RNA (505 nucleotides) under uncultured bacterium. Its description in RNAcentral is "partial 16S ribosomal RNA". It matches the Rfam family "Bacterial small subunit ribosomal RNA", at positions 28 to 507 of the family's 1533-position model. The record is from RNAcentral.
GACGAACGCUGGCGGCGUGCCUAAUACAUGCAAGUCGAACGCACAGUUUAUACCGUAGCUUGCUACACCAUAGACUGUGAGUUGCGAACGGGUGAGUAACGCGUAGGUAACCUGCCUGGUAGCGGGGGAUAACUAUUGGAAACGAUAGCUAAUACCGCAUAAUAUUGAUUAUUGCAUGAUAAUUGAUUGAAAGAUGCUAUUGCAUCACUACCAGAUGGACCUGCGUUGUAUUAGCUAGUAGGUGAGGUAACGGCUCACCUAGGCGAAGAUACAUAGCCGACCUGAGAGGGUGAUCGGCCAACCUGGGACUGGGACACGGCCCAGACUCCUACGGGAGGCAGCAGUAGGGAAUCUUCGGCAAUGGACGAAAGUCUGACCGAGCAACGCCGCGUGAGUGAAGAAGGUUUUCGGAUCGUAAAGCUCUGUUGUAAGAGAAGAACGGGUGUGAGAGUGGAAAGUUCACACUGUGACGGUAUCUUACCAGAAAGGGACGGCUAACUACGUG